This 240-nucleotide ribosomal RNA is filed under the name uncultured bacterium. Its description in RNAcentral is "partial 16S ribosomal RNA". It matches the Rfam family "Bacterial small subunit ribosomal RNA", at positions 524 to 763 of the family's 1533-position model. The record is from RNAcentral.
UACGGAGGGUGCAAGCGUUAUCCGGAUUCACUGGGUUUAAAGGGUGUGUAGGCGGGUUAUUAAGUCAGUGGUGAAAUCUCCGGGCUCAACCCGGAAACUGCCAUUGAUACUAUUAGCCUUGAAUUCUGUUGAGGUGGGCGGAAUAUGUCAUGUAGCGGUGAAAUGCAUAGAUAUGACAUAGAACACCAAUUGCGAAGGCAGCUCACUAAACAGCGAUUGACGCUGAGGCACGAAAGCGUG